UGGUGGAGUGAUUUGUCUGGUUAAUUCCGUUAACGAACGAGACCUCGACCUGCUAAAUAGAGCGCCUGAAUCCUUGUGGUUCGGGUUGCGACUUCUUAGAGGGACUAUCGGUGUGUAGCCGAUGGAAGUUCGAGGCAAUAACA
RNAcentral lists this ribosomal RNA (143 nucleotides) under uncultured eukaryote. RNAcentral describes it as "partial 18S ribosomal RNA". It matches the Rfam family "Eukaryotic small subunit ribosomal RNA", at positions 1299 to 1458 of the family's 1831-position model. The record is from RNAcentral.